This 539-nucleotide ribosomal RNA is filed under the name uncultured Ferruginibacter sp. RNAcentral's name for it is "bacterial SSU rRNA". It matches the Rfam family "Bacterial small subunit ribosomal RNA", at positions 96 to 628 of the family's 1533-position model. Lineage: Bacteria; Pseudomonadati; Bacteroidota; Chitinophagia; Chitinophagales; Chitinophagaceae. The record is from RNAcentral.
CGGCAAACGGGUGCGGAACACGUACGCAACCUCCCCGGAACAGGUGAAUAGCCUUGCGAAAGUAAGAUUAAUACACCGUACCAUAUAGUUGUGGCAUCACGAUUAUAUUAUAGGUAGCAAUACCGGUUCCGGAUGGGCGUGCGCCUGAUUAGGUAGUUGGUGAGGGUAACGGCCUACCAAGCCUUCGAUCAGUAACUGGUGUGAGAGCACGACCAGUCACACGGGCACUGAGACACGGGCCCGACUCCUACGGGAGGCAGCAGUAAGGAAUAUUGGUCAAUGGACGCAAGUCUGAGCCAGCCAUGCCGCGUGCAGGAUGACGGCCCUCUGGGUUGUAAACUGCUUUUAUCUGGGACGAAAAACGGACUUUCUAGUUCACUUGACGGUACCAGAGGAAUAAGCACCGGCUAACUCCGUGCCAGCAGCCGCGGUAAUACGGAGGGUGCAAGCGUUAUCCGGAUUUACUGGGUUUAAAGGGUGCGUAGGUGGGCAGGUAAGUCAGUGGUGAAAUCUUCAAGCUUAACUUGGAAACUGCCAUU